RNAcentral lists this ribosomal RNA (465 nucleotides) under Vreelandella stevensii. Its description in RNAcentral is "partial 16S ribosomal RNA". It matches the Rfam family "Bacterial small subunit ribosomal RNA", at positions 338 to 795 of the family's 1533-position model. Lineage: Bacteria; Pseudomonadati; Pseudomonadota; Gammaproteobacteria; Oceanospirillales; Halomonadaceae. The record is from RNAcentral.
CCUACGGGGUGCAGCAGUGGGGAAUAUUGGACAAUGGGCGAAAGCCUGAUCCAGCCAUGCCGCGUGUGUGAAGAAGGCCUUCGGGUUGUAAAGCACUUUCAGUGGGGAAGAAAGCCUUGGGGCUAAUACCCUCGAGGAAGGACAUCACCCACAGAAGAAGCACCGGCUAACUCCGUGCCAGCAGCCGCGGUAAUACGGAGGGUGCGAGCGUUAAUCGGAAUUACUGGGCGUAAAGCGCGCGUAGGUGGUCUGAUAAGCCGGUUGUGAAAGCCCCGGGCUCAACCUGGGAACGGCAUCCGGAACUGUCAGGCUAGAGUGCAGGAGAGGAAGGUAGAAUUCCCGGUGUAGCGGUGAAAUGCGUAGAGAUCGGGAGGAAUACCAGUGGCGAAGGCGGCCUUCUGGACUGACACUGACGCUGAGGUGCGAAAGCGUGGGUAGCAAACAGGAUUAGAUACCCCGGUAGUC